Molecule: ribosomal RNA, 486 nt
Filed under: uncultured bacterium
Lineage: Bacteria
Description: partial 16S ribosomal RNA
Rfam family: Bacterial small subunit ribosomal RNA
Source: RNAcentral
GAUGAACGCUGGCGGCGUGCCUAAUACAUGCAAGUCGAACGCUCGAGCUAUAGCUUGCUAGAUCGAAGGAGUGGCGAACGGGUGAGUAAUACAUAUGCAACCUACCCACGUAGACCGGGGUAAUCUUCGGAAAAGCGGACUAAUAACGGAAAGAUAUUCGGAACCCAUCUUUUGGAUAUUAAAGGACAAACACACUGGCGGAUGGGCUUAUGUCGCAUUUGUUUGUUGGUGAGGUAACGGUAAACCAAGACGAUGAUGCGUAGCCGAACUGAGAGGGUGAACGGCCACAUUGGGACUGAGACACGGCCCAGACUCCUACGGGAGGCAGCAGUAGGGAAUUUUCGGCAAUGGGGGCAACCCGGACCGAGCAACGUCGCGUGAGUGAAGACGGCCUUCGGGUUGUAAAGCUCUGUUGUAAGGGAAGAACGGUAGAUAGAGAAUAUCUAAGUGACGGUACCUUACCAGAAAGCCACGGCUAACUACGUG